This 1453-nucleotide ribosomal RNA is filed under the name uncultured bacterium. Its description in RNAcentral is "bacterial SSU rRNA". It matches the Rfam family "Bacterial small subunit ribosomal RNA". The record is from RNAcentral.
GAUGAACGCUAGCGGCAGGCCUAAUACAUGCAAGUCGAACGGGAUCCAUUUGUUAGCUUGCUAACAGAUGGUGAGAGUGGCGCACGGGUGCGUAACGCGUGAGCAACCUACCCAUAUCAGGGGGAUAGCCCGAAGAAAUUCGGAUUAACACCGCAUAAGACUACGAGAUGGCAUCAUCAAGUAGUUAAAUAUUUAUAGGAUAUGGAUGGGCUCGCGUGACAUUAGCUAGUUGGUGAGGUAACGGCUCACCAAGGCGACGAUGUCUAGGGGCUCUGAGAGGAGAAUCCCCCACACUGGUACUGAGACACGGACCAGACUCCUACGGGAGGCAGCAGUAAGGAAUAUUGGUCAAUGGACGGAAGUCUGAACCAGCCAUGCCGCGUGCAGGAUGACUGCCCUAUGGGUUGUAAACUGCUUUUGUCGAGGAAUAAACCUAUCUACGUGUAGAUAGCUGAAUGUACUCGAAGAAUAAGGAUCGGCUAACUCCGUGCCAGCAGCCGCGGUAAUACGGAGGAUCCGAGCGUUAUCCGGAUUUAUUGGGUUUAAAGGGUGCGUAGGCGGUACUUUAAGUCAGGGGUGAAAGACGGCAGCUUAACUGUCGCAGUGCCUUUAAUACUUGAAGUGCUUGAAUGCGGUUGAAGACGGCGGAAUGAGACAAGUAGCGGUGAAAUGCAUAGAUAUGUCUCAGAACACCGAUUGCGAAGGCAGCUGUCUAAGCCGUUAUUGACGCUGAUGCACGAAAGCGUGGGGAUCGAACAGGAUUAGAUACCCUGGUAGUCCACGCCCUAAACGAUGAUAACUCGAUGUUUGCGAUAUACAGUAAGCGUCCAAGCGAAAGCGUUAAGUUAUCCACCUGGGGAGUACGCCCGCAAGGGUGAAACUCAAAGGAAUUGACGGGGGUCCGCACAAGCGGAGGAGCAUGUGGUGUAAUUCGAUGAUACGCGAGGAACCUUACCCGGGCUUGAAUUGCAGAGGAAAGAUCCAGAGAUGGUGAUGCCCUUCGGGGCCUCUGUGAAGGUGCUGCAUGGUUGUCGUCAGCUCGUGCCGUGAGGUGUCGGCUUAAGUGCCAUAACGAGCGCAACCCCUUUCUUUAGUUGCCAUCAGGUAAUGCUGGGCACUCUGGAGAUACUGCCACCGUAAGGUGUGAGGAAGGUGGGGAUGACGUCAAAUCAGCACGGCCCUUACGUCCGGGGCUACACACGUGUUACAAUGGCCGGUACAGAGAGACGGUUGCUUGCAAAAGUAAUCAAAUCCUUAAAACCGGUCCCAGUUCGGACUGGGGUCUGCAACUCGACCCCACGAAGCUGGAUUCGCUAGUAAUCGCGCAUCAGCCAUGGCGCGGUGAAUACGUUCCCGGGCCUUGUACACACCGCCCGUCAAGCCAUGAAAGCCGGGGGUGCCUGAAGUCCGUGACCGCAAGGAUCGGCCUAGGGCAAAACUGGUAAUUGGGGCU